This 253-nucleotide ribosomal RNA is filed under the name uncultured bacterium. RNAcentral's name for it is "partial 16S ribosomal RNA". It matches the Rfam family "Bacterial small subunit ribosomal RNA", at positions 524 to 776 of the family's 1533-position model. The record is from RNAcentral.
UACGGAGGUGGCAAGCGUUGCUCGGAAUCACUGGGCGUAAAGGGCGCGUAGGCGGGGAGGUAAGUCGGGUGUGAAAUCCCUCGGCCCAACCGAGGAACUGCGCCCGAGACUGCUUCUCUUGAGUCCCGGAGAGGAAGGUGGAAUUCCCGGUGUAGCGGUGAAAUGCGUAGAGAUCGGGAGGAACACCGGUGGCGAAGGCGGCCUUCUGGACGGUGACUGACGCUGAGGCGCGAAAGCGUGGGGAGCAAACGGG